CAGAAGGAUGGUGUCAGUGGACGGCACAAAUAACUGCUGCCUGGUAUUCCCACCCACCCCAAAACAGCUUCCUACUGGUUGAUAUGCAUCCCAAACAAAUGGUUCCCACUGGUCAGAUCCUGUUGUUGCCCACAGAGCAAUUCCGCAUGCAGGAUCGAGUAGGGGGUCUUAGCUAAAUCUGUGUUUGGCACAAGUUCAGUGACACCCUCUGUUUUAAGUCUCCUCGGUUCCAUGAGUUACUGUAGCAGGUGAGCUAGGAUGCUUCAGCAGGAGCUGCAUAGCACAAGGAAUGAUGUUUCAAACAUGAAAAAAAGAAAAAUGCAACAGUGACCUUAUGAAAACAGAUGUUAUUCAGGCUUCAGCUGGGAAAAAAGGGAAGGAGGGACUCCCCUGGAAUUACUAAGGGCGGCAUACAGCGUGAUUCUGUGAGAGUGAGAGGAAUUGUGCUGGGGAUACAGGAGUUGCAAAUGGAAGGUGAAACAGAGCCUUGUUCAAGCACAUGUCAUGUCGGUGCAGCCAGGAGGAGCAGCUGCUCAGCUACCAGAAUGAGUGGAACAGUUCUAGCAAUGACCCAUUUCUUGCCGUUGCCCAUCUGCUACUAUGGAAACAACAGCUCUCCUUGUACGCAGCUGCCUUUGCUGCAACUUGUAUGGAAGGCAAAAGAAGAAUAAAACAGGGCGAUAAGAAGUUUUUCCUGUCAGUGCACAUCUGUACGUCCUUUUAGUGGAAGCUUCUGACUGCAGAGCAGCACUGUUCGAGUGCAGCAGAGGUUAAUUUACCUAUGAGCGAUAAAAUCCUAUUGGAAAAAUACACACUCCUGAGCAGAAGGCACCGU
Long non-coding RNA from Cuculus canorus (common cuckoo), 835 nucleotides. RefSeq lists it as uncharacterized. The transcript is spliced from 3 exons. The record is from RefSeq and is a predicted model, not a curated record. Lineage: Eukaryota; Metazoa; Chordata; Aves; Cuculiformes; Cuculidae.